AUACGGAGGAUGCGAGCGUUGUUCGGAAUUAUUGGGCGUAAAGAGCAUGUAGGCGGUCUGUUAAGUCUGGUGUGAAAGCCCGGGGCUCAACCCCGGAAGUGCAUUGGAUACUGGCAGACUUGAGUAUGGGAGAGGAAAGCGGAAUUCCGAGUGUAGGAGUGAAAUCCGUAGAUAUUCGGAGGAACACCAGUGGCGAAGGCGGCUUUCUGGACCAAUACUGACGCUGAGAUGCGAAAGCGUGGGGAGCGAACAGGAUUAGAAACCCUAGUAGUCC
RNAcentral lists this ribosomal RNA (274 nucleotides) under uncultured bacterium. RNAcentral's name for it is "partial 16S ribosomal RNA". It matches the Rfam family "Bacterial small subunit ribosomal RNA", at positions 523 to 796 of the family's 1533-position model. The record is from RNAcentral.